This is a long non-coding RNA of Trachemys scripta elegans, 776 nucleotides long. RefSeq lists it as uncharacterized. The record is from RefSeq and is a predicted model, not a curated record. The transcript is spliced from 3 exons. Lineage: Eukaryota; Metazoa; Chordata; Testudines; Emydidae.
CCCAUUGCAAUCCAUGGGAGUCUUUCCUUCGACUUAAACGGGCUGUGGAUGGGGCCCAGGAUUUGUUUAAUUUGACAUUUGUGAAGCACUUUGGGAUCCACAGUUUCAGUAUAAAUGCCACAUAGCUUGCCAAAGUCAUCCGUGCUAUGGCAUUAUUCAUUUCAGUGGAAUUACACCAGGGACUGAUUUGAGCCAUUAAUUUCAAAUUGUUUUGUUUAUGUCAAGUGCCAUCAAAAUGAAUUAGAGGUCUAGCACACUCAUUUCGUACACCACCAUAACUCAGGUCAGUGUAUAUCUGUACGAGUUUCAGGUCAAUGUGUUGCUCAAUGCUGGUGCCUCACUGAAGAGUGGUAUUUGGCUUUGCUCUCCUCAGACAUCAGACAAAUACUGUACUGUGGGAUUUCUUUGCUGACCAGACAGUUACUACACGGAACAGAGAAUCAACCAAGGAAUGUGGAGUUUCCAAAUGUAGGUCCUAAAAUUCCUGCCCUGAUUCCUGCCAAUGAAGAUUUAAUUUUUCAAAAAAGGAAACUAAUGUGGGAACCAGAGAGCAGUGGGCAUUACAUCUUUGUUUGAAGAGUCAGCCUGGCCAGAGGUCAGCAAGGCCGUCAAUACCCUUGUUCAGCUAAAAUAAGGGAUGUUACUUCUGAUUUACACCACUGGCAAGUCGGGUUGUCGGGAUAAUUCUCAAAACCAAAGCAACACUUGAGAAUAAGGAGAUGGGCAUGAUGACGCAGGAGCAAAGUAAAACCCUUUACAAAGAAGGGGCUUCAGUG